RNAcentral lists this ribosomal RNA (279 nucleotides) under uncultured bacterium. Its description in RNAcentral is "partial 16S ribosomal RNA". It matches the Rfam family "Bacterial small subunit ribosomal RNA", at positions 28 to 334 of the family's 1533-position model. The record is from RNAcentral.
GAUGAACGCUGGCGGUCUGCUUAACACAUGCAAGUCGAACGAAAUCCUUCGGGAUUUAGUGGCGGACGGGUGAGUAACACGUGAGAAUCUGGCUUCUGGAUGGGGACAACAGUGGGAAACCGCUGCUAAUACCCAAUGCGCCGCAAGGUAAAAGAUUUAUCGCCAGAAGAUGAGCUCGCGUCCGAUUAGUUAGUUGGUGGGGUAACAGCCUACCAAGACAGCGAUCGGUAGCUGGUCUGAGAGGAUGAGCAGCCACACUGGGACUGAGACACGGCCCAG